Molecule: ribosomal RNA, 443 nt
Filed under: uncultured bacterium
Lineage: Bacteria
Description: partial 16S ribosomal RNA
Rfam family: Bacterial small subunit ribosomal RNA
Source: RNAcentral
CCUACGGGAGGCUGCAGUGGGGAAUAUUGGGCAAUGGGCGCAAGCCUGACCCAGCAACGCCGCGUGAAGGAAGAAGGCUUUCGGGUUGUAAACCUCUUUUGUCAGGGACGAAGCAAGUGCCGGUACCUGACGAAUAAGCCCCGGCUAACUACGUGCCAGCGGCGGCGGUAAUACGAAGGUGGCAAGCGUUAUCCGGAUUUAUUGGGUGUAAAGGGCGUGUAGGCGGGAAGGCAAGUCAGAUGUGAAAACUAUGGGCUCAACCCAUAGCCUGCAUUUGAAACUGUAUUUCUUGAGUGCUGGAGAGGCAAUCGGAAUUCCGUGUGUAGCGGUGAAAUGCGUAGAUAUACGGAGGAACACCAGUGGCGAAGGCGGAUUGCUGGACGGUAACUGACGCUGAGGCGCGAAAGCGUGGGGAGCAAACAGGAUUAGAUACCCGGGUAGUC